RNAcentral lists this ribosomal RNA (531 nucleotides) under Bifidobacterium breve. RNAcentral's name for it is "bacterial SSU rRNA". It matches the Rfam family "Bacterial small subunit ribosomal RNA", at positions 165 to 706 of the family's 1533-position model. Lineage: Bacteria; Bacillati; Actinomycetota; Actinomycetes; Bifidobacteriales; Bifidobacteriaceae. The record is from RNAcentral.
AAUGCCGGAUGCUCCAUCACACCGCAUGGUGUUUUGGGAAAGCCUUUGCGGCAUGGGAUGGGGUCGCGUCCUAUCAGCUUGAUGGCGGGGUAACGGCCCACCAUGGCUUCGACGGGUAGCCGGCCUGAGAGGGCGACCGGCCACAUUGGGACUGAGAUACGGCCCAGACUCCUACGGGAGGCAGCAGUGGGGAAUAUUGCACAAUGGGCGCAAGCCUGAUGCAGCGACGCCGCGUGAGGGAUGGAGGCCUUCGGGUUGUAAACCUCUUUUGUUAGGGAGCAAGGCAUUUUGUGUUGAGUGUACCUUUCGAAUAAGCACCGGCUAACUACGUGCCAGCAGCCGCGGUAAUACGUAGGGUGCAAGCGUUAUCCGGAAUUAUUGGGCGUAAAGGGCUCGUAGGCGGUUCGUCGCGUCCGGUGUGAAAGUCCAUCGCUUAACGGUGGAUCCGCGCCGGGUACGGGCGGGCUUGAGUGCGGUAGGGGAGACUGGAAUUCCCGGUGUAACGGUGGAAUGUGUAGAUAUCGGAAAAGA